RNA transcript from Daucus carota subsp. sativus, 1706 nucleotides. RefSeq lists it as uncharacterized. The record is from RefSeq and is a predicted model, not a curated record. The transcript is spliced from 9 exons. NCBI's taxonomy places the organism in Eukaryota, Viridiplantae, Streptophyta, Magnoliopsida, Apiales, Apiaceae.
UUAUGCCUACUAUUUGAUGUAUAGAAUGAAAUCACGUGAUACUGUGCAAUUAGAGCAAAUGUUCACAGAGCAACAAUUCAUCGAUCCACGUCUUCUUUCUCCAUUUCAGAAACAAACAAAUCGACAGCUGUGUUCUUUAGCACUAGCUUCUCUGCCUUACUUCCUGAUCCGUAAACGUUUCAAAUUUCAAAUUUCAAAUUGAAAGGCUUCCCUGCCCUUAUUUCUAUAGCACAACCCUUAAAUCUCCAUGUCUGUGAAGCUUUUUAGACCCAUUAGAGCAUCACAGCCAUCACAAUCGACCCAAAUGGGUGUUUGUCGCCGGAGACAAGUCUCCGGGACUUGCCGGAGAGUUGUGUAGCCUCUGUUCUUGAGUACAUGGACCCACAAGAGAUCUGUAAAGUGGCUGUUCUUAAUAGGACUUUUCGGGGAGCUUCCUAUGCUGAUUUUGUAUGUGGCUUUCUUUUUGUACCCUAUAUUCUGGAUUCUUUGGGAAAUAUUAUACGCUCCCCUUCGCCUUUUUCUCGGGAUAUGCAAUCUUAUUGUGUUCAUAUUUAGCAAUGUAUAUGCUAUUAUUGGAGAUAUAUGGUUCUUUAUCAGUAGCAUCUUCCAGUUAGCUUCAACUGUAGAUGCUACGGUGAACGCAGAGGUUUUCUUGUGGCGCACUUUAUGGAAUCACUUUUUUCUCAGGUCUUUCGAGCUGUUCUGAGCAUCUUAAACGAUUUUGUUGCAUUCUUCACAGCCUGCAAUCGUCACCAACUAAGUUUAUAGGCAUGGACUUGCAGGAAUUCAAGUACCAAUGUACUGGGGAACAAAUUGUUUCCAUACAAGAAAAGUUAUAUACAAGCUUUCACCUGAUCAUAAUAUUACACACUGUUGCACAUACAUGUUCAUUGAGUUGCAUAUAUAGAUGUUAAUCAGUUCCAAAACUGUAAUUAGAAUCAACAUAGUGAGUGCUCCUUUUGAUUGGCUAAGCCGGCACACUAUCUGCCUUUUGAGUCUCAGCAUAUAUCCAUCUGCACGAUAUGGCCUCUCCCCGGUUAUGCUCCUACAACCGAAUACAAUCUUGUGUUUACCGACCAGUAUCAGUUUCUAAUGCUUUCCCAGGGAUCUUUAGAUGAACUUAAUAGCCAGCUGGAGGAGCCUUUACCUAUUAAUCAUUUCCGCCCCAGGUACCCUUAGUUAAUCAAGAGAAUGGAAUACCUGGCCAGAGCCGAAUAAAACACUGAUGAAGUUUCAAUCUGAUAAAAUCUUGCAACUGAGUACGAGGCACCAUGGAAAGGUUAAGCUCUGGAACCACUCAUUUCCUUCCUUUACAUUAAAUCUUCUUGCGGAUACGAAUUGUGAAAUAAUUUUCUUGAGGUCUACUUCGAACAAGGUCUGGUCUGCAACAAGGACUCAUUUGAUGGAUUUGGAGAGAUGAUAGGAGAUACCAUCCAUGUGGAGAAGGUGUUUGCUUCAUAUGCUGAAGCCAUAGCUUGAAUGUAUUAACAUUCAAUGCAGUCACAGUUUAUAUGAAGAAUAGCCGAGUGCAUCAAUAGAUAAAAAACUCUAAAGAUGAUUGUUAUUAUGUGAUAUAUCAAUCAAUUUCAUAAGGCACAACUUUCUUGACAAAAGAAAUAAAAAAAUCAAGCCACAACUUCAGAAUGUUAUUUUGGUUUUAAAUUUUCAAGAGUGAAUUGUUCAGUCAGUUCAUUGUCCCUGAUAUU